GACGAACGCUGGCGGUGUGCUUAACACAUGCAAGUCGAACGGUAAGGCCCUUUCGGGGGUACACGAGUGGCGAACGGGCGUGUAACACGUGUGUAACCUGUCCUCAUCUCUGGGAUAACAGACGGAAACGGUUGCUAUAACUGGGGAUAAGCGUGAAUGGUACCUUGUGGGUUGGACAGAUUUUUUUUGGUUGGGGAUGGACUCGCGGCCUAUCAGCUUGUUGGUGAGGUAGUGGCUCACCAAGGCUUCGACGGGUAACCGGCCUGAGAGGGGGACCGGCCACAUUUGGACUGAGAUACGGCCCAAGCUCCUACGGGAGGCAGCAGGGGGGAAUAUUGCACAAUGGACGGAAGUCUGAAGCAGCAUCGCCGCGUGCGGGAUGACGGCCUUCGGGUUGUAAACCGCUUUCAAUUGUGACGAAGGAUUUUUGUGACGGUAGCAGUAGAAGAAGCACCGGCUAACUACGUG
Molecule: ribosomal RNA, 468 nt
Filed under: uncultured bacterium
Lineage: Bacteria
Description: partial 16S ribosomal RNA
Rfam family: Bacterial small subunit ribosomal RNA
Source: RNAcentral